UACGGAGGGUGCAAGCGUUAUCCGGAUUCACUGGGGUUAAAGGGGGCGUAGGUGGGAAUGUAAGUCAGUGGUGAAAUCUCCGUGCUUAACAUGGAAACUGCCAUUGAUACUAUGUUUCUUGAAUUUUCUGGAGGUAAGCGGAAUAUGUCAUGUAGCGGUGAAAUGCUUAGAUAUGACAUAGAACACCAAUUGCGAAGGUAGCUUGCUACAGGGAUAUUGACACUGAGGCACGAAAGCGUGGGGAUCAAACAGG
This 253-nucleotide ribosomal RNA is filed under the name uncultured bacterium. Its description in RNAcentral is "partial 16S ribosomal RNA". It matches the Rfam family "Bacterial small subunit ribosomal RNA", at positions 524 to 776 of the family's 1533-position model. The record is from RNAcentral.